RNAcentral lists this ribosomal RNA (812 nucleotides) under uncultured bacterium. RNAcentral describes it as "bacterial SSU rRNA". It matches the Rfam family "Bacterial small subunit ribosomal RNA", at positions 58 to 916 of the family's 1533-position model. The record is from RNAcentral.
CAAGUCGAACGAACCUUCGGGUUAGUGGCGGACGGGUGAGUAACGCGUGAGAAUCUGCCCUCAGGAGGGGGAUAACGGCUGGAAACGGCCGCUAAUACCCCAUAUGCCGAGAGGUGAAAUGAAUUUCGCCUGAGGAUGAGCUCGCGUCUGAUUAGCUAGUUGGUGGGGUAAGAGCCUACCAAGGCAUCGAUCAGUAGCUGGUCUGAGAGGAUGAUCAGCCACACUGGGACUGAGACACGGCCCAGACUCCUACGGGAGGCAGCAGUGGGGAAUUUUCCGCAAUGGGCGAAAGCCUGACGGAGCAACGCCGCGUGAGGGAUGAAGGCCUCUGGGCUGUAAACCUCCUUUAUCAAGGAAGAAGAUCUGACGGUACUUGAUGAAUAAGCCACGGCUAAUUCCGUGCCAGCAGCCGCGGUAAUACGGGAGUGGCAAGCGUUAUCCGGAAUUAUUGGGCGUAAAGCGUCCGCAGGCGGCCUGAUAAGUCUGUUGUCAAAGCGUGGAGCUUAACUCCAUUUCGGCAAUGGAAACUGUGAGGCUUGAGUGUGGUAGGGGCAGAGGGAAUUCCCGGUGUAGCGGUGAAAUGCGUAGAUAUCGGGAAGAACACCAGUGGCGAAGGCGCUCUGCUGGGCCAUAACUGACGCUCAUGGACGAAAGCCAGGGGAGCGAAAGGGAUUAGAUACCCCUGUAGUCCUGGCCGUAAACGAUGAACACUAGGUGUCGGGGGAAUCGACCCCCUCGGUGUCGUAGCCAACGCGUUAAGUGUUCCGCCUGGGGAGUACGCACGCAAGUGUGAAACUCAAAGGAAUUGACGG